GGAUUAGAUACCCUGGUAGUCCACGCCGUAAACGAUGUCUACUAGUCGUCGGGGAUCUUGCAUUUCUGGUGACGCAGCUAACGCGAUAAGUAGACCGCCUGGGGAGUACGGCCGCAAGGUUAAAACUCAAAUGAAUUGACGGGGGCCCGCACAAGCGGUGGAGCAUGUGGUUUAAUUCGAAGCAACGCGAAGAACCUUACCAGGGCUUGACAUACAGUGCAAAACUAUAGAGAUAUAGCAGAGGUUAACAUUGAUACAGGUGGUGCAUGGUUGUCGUCAGCUCGUGCCG
This 289-nucleotide ribosomal RNA is filed under the name uncultured bacterium. RNAcentral's name for it is "partial 16S ribosomal RNA". It matches the Rfam family "Bacterial small subunit ribosomal RNA", at positions 775 to 1067 of the family's 1533-position model. The record is from RNAcentral.